Pelobates cultripes (western spadefoot toad) is the source of this 167-nucleotide non-coding RNA. The record is from the annotation of a GenBank genome assembly. Lineage: Eukaryota; Metazoa; Chordata; Amphibia; Anura; Pelobatidae.
GCAGACACGUUCCAGCCAAUCAGCAGCAGACCCUCCCUCCUAGACCUUCCCACCUCCUGGACAGCUCACUAAGAAUGCAGCUUCACAAUGAAUGUAAAAUGGAUGCUGUCCAGGAGUUGGGAGGGUCUGGGAGGGAGGGUCUGCUGCUGAUUGGCUGGAAUGUGUCU